UACGGAGGGUGCGAGCGUUGUCCGGAAUCACUGGGCGUAAAGGGCGCGUAGGCGGCUCGGUAAGUAGGGGGUGAAAUCUUGCGGCUUAACCGCAAGGCUGCCUUCUAAACUGCCAGGCUCGAGCACAGUAGAGGCAGGUGGAAUUCCCGGUGUAGCGGUGGAAUGCGUAGAGAUCGGGAAGAACAUCGGUGGCGAAGGCGGCCUGCUGGGCUGUUGCUGACGCUGAGGCGCGACAGCGUGGGGAGCAAACGGG
RNAcentral lists this ribosomal RNA (253 nucleotides) under uncultured bacterium. RNAcentral's name for it is "partial 16S ribosomal RNA". It matches the Rfam family "Bacterial small subunit ribosomal RNA", at positions 524 to 776 of the family's 1533-position model. The record is from RNAcentral.